Molecule: transfer RNA, 99 nt
Filed under: Perca flavescens (yellow perch)
Lineage: Eukaryota; Metazoa; Chordata; Actinopteri; Perciformes; Percidae
Rfam family: tRNA
About the family: Transfer RNA (tRNA) molecules are approximately 80 nucleotides in length. Their secondary structure includes four short double-helical elements and three loops (D, anti-codon, and T loops). Further hydrogen bonds mediate the characteristic L-shaped molecular structure. tRNAs have two regions of fundamental functional importance: the anti-codon, which is responsible for specific mRNA codon recognition, and the 3' end, to which the tRNAs corresponding amino acid is attached (by aminoacyl-tRNA synthetases). tRNAs cope with the degeneracy of the genetic code in two manners: having more than one tRNA (with a specific anti-codon) for a particular amino acid; and 'wobble' base-pairing, i.e. permitting non-standard base-pairing at the 3rd anti-codon position.
Source: Rfam by way of RNAcentral
UAGUCUGUGGCGCAAUGGACAGCGCAAUUGGACUUCUAGUUCUAGCUAAUCUCUGAAGAAGUGAUUCAAAGGUUGUGGGUUCGAGUCCCACCAGAGUCA